This 371-nucleotide ribosomal RNA is filed under the name uncultured organism. RNAcentral describes it as "partial 16S ribosomal RNA". It matches the Rfam family "Bacterial small subunit ribosomal RNA", at positions 527 to 896 of the family's 1533-position model. The record is from RNAcentral.
GUAGGUGGCAAGCGUUGUCCGGAAUUAUUGGGCGUAAAGCGCGCGCAGGCGGUUCUUUAAGUCUGAUGUGAAAGCCCACGGCUCAACCGUGGAGGGUCAUUGGAAACUGGAGAACUUGAGUACAGAAGAGGAAAGCGGAAUUCCACGUGUAGCGGUGAAAUGCGUAGAGAUGCGGAGGAACACCAGUGGCGAAGGCGGCUCUCUGGUCUGUAACUGACGCUGAGGCGCGAAAGCGUGGGGGAGCAAACAGGAUUAGAUACCCUGGUAGUCCACGCCGUAAACGAUGAGUGCUAAGUGUUAGGGGGUUUCCGCCCCUUAGUGCUGCAGCUAACGCAUUAAGCACUCCGCCUGGGAGUACGGCCGCAAGGCUG